RNAcentral lists this ribosomal RNA (465 nucleotides) under uncultured bacterium. Its description in RNAcentral is "partial 16S ribosomal RNA". It matches the Rfam family "Bacterial small subunit ribosomal RNA", at positions 339 to 795 of the family's 1533-position model. The record is from RNAcentral.
CUACGGGGGGCUCCAGUGGGGAAUAUUGGACAAUGGGGGAAACCCUGAUCCAGCAAUGCCGCGUGUGUGAAGAAGGCCUGCGGGUUGUAAAGCACUUUCGGUUGGGAGGACUGCUUCUAGCACUAAUAUUGUUGGAAGUUGACGUUACCUUCAGAAGAAGCACCGGCUAACUCCGUGCCAGCAGCCGCGGUAAUACGGAGGGUGCACGCGUUAAUCGGAAUUACUGGGCGUAAAGCGCGCGUAGGCGGCUAGAUCAGUCGGGUGUGAAAGCCCCGGGCUUAACCGGGGAACUGCAUCCGAUACUGUCUAGCUUGAGUACAGGAGAGGAGAGUGGAAUUCCACAUGUAGCGGUGAAAUGCGUAGAUAUGUGGAGGAACACCAAUGGCGAAGGCAGCUCUCUGGCCUGAUACUGACGCUGAGGUGCGAAAGCGUGGGGAGCAAACAGGAUUAGAUACCCCCGUAGUC